This is a non-coding RNA of Xenopus tropicalis (tropical clawed frog), 82 nucleotides long. NCBI's taxonomy places the organism in Eukaryota, Metazoa, Chordata, Amphibia, Anura, Pipidae. The record is from Rfam.
GGAAUGCUCUGGGAGUUGUAGUCUUUCAAACAGCUGUGAAUUUCUAUACCUGUAUUGGAACACUACAGCUCCUAGAAAUUCC